Non-coding RNA from Salmo salar (Atlantic salmon), 1786 nucleotides. Lineage: Eukaryota; Metazoa; Chordata; Actinopteri; Salmoniformes; Salmonidae. The record is from RefSeq and is a predicted model, not a curated record.
AGUUCCCAAUCCGACAAUUACAAUAAAACAAAUCUUUUUUUGUUCAAUUAAAUGUUUAUUUUAUGUAUUUAUAAUUAUACAUUUUUUUAUUUAACUAGGCAAGUCAGUUAAGAACAAAUUCUUAUUUCUUAUUUACAACCCAGGGCCAUACCAGGACGAUGCUGGGCCAAUUGUGCGCCGCCCUAUGGGACUCUCCAGUCAUGGCCAGGUGUGAUGCUUACCUUUGAAACCCAAAGGACUUUUAUUGUUGAGGCAAGCCGAAGUUGGUAGUCGAAGUCCCCGCCCUUUUGACUCUGGGCUCCCGAGUGGCGCAGCGAUCUAAGGCACUGCAUCUCAGUGCUAGAGGCAUCACUACAGACCCUGGUUCGUAUUCCAGGCUGUAUCACAACCGGCUGUGAUUCGGAGUCCAAUAGGGUAUGGAAAGCUAUGAAAGCCUGGUUUGCAGAUGAAGAGAGAGGUCCCAAUGAAUGUCCCAAUAGACUAAGGGUAUAUCCUGUAUGCCAUGGGUUAAAUGUGUAGGCCUACCUAUGUUAGCGAAUGUUGCAUACAAAAACCACACUUAAUCAUCACACACAAUAUAUAAACCUAUUCAAAUUAGAGCAGGCCAACCCUGCUGUAGCUCUGCUGUGUGUGCAGGGUUAUGUUUCAGCCCUGCAAUAACACACCUGAUUUAAACUUAUCAAAUCUAGUUGAUAAUCAAGUGUGCUAUUGCUGAGCUGGAAUAAAAGCCUGCUCGGCCAGUAGAUCUAUUGCUGGGCUGGAAUAAAAGUCUGCUCGGCCAGUAGAUCUAUUCCUGGGCUGGAAUAAAGGUCUGCUCAGCCAGUAGAUAUAUUGCUGAGCUGGAAUAAAAGUCUCCUCAGCCAGUAGAUCUAUUGCUGAGCUGGAAUAAAGGUCUGCUCAGCCAGUAGAUCUAUUGCUGAGCUGGAAUAAAGGUCUGCUCAGCCAGUAGAUCUAUUGCUGAGCUGGAAUAAAAGUCUGCUCAGCCAGUAGCUCUAUUCCUGGGCUGGAACAAAGGUCUGCUCAGCCAGUAGAUCUAUUGCUGAGCUGGAAUAAAAGUCUGCUCAGCCAGUAGAUCUAUUCCUGGGCUGGAACAAAGGUCUGCUCAGCCAGUAGAUCUAUUGCUGAGCUGUAAUAAAAGUCUGCUCAGCCAGUAGAUCUAUUGCUGAGCUGGAAUAAAAGUCUGCUCAGCCAGUAGCUCUAUUCCUGGGCUGGAACAAAGGUCUGCUCAGCCAGUAGAUCUAUUGCUGAGCUGGAAUAAAGGUCUGCUCAGCCAGUAGAUCUAUUCCUGGGCUGGAACAAAGGUCUGCUCAGCCAGUAGAUCUAUUCCAUUGAUCAGUAGAGCGAGGUAGGUGUUUUGGAGUUUUUUAUUGUUUACCUGAAAUGAUGAUGUAGUAAUAACAGCCAACUUGUUCCUGCUCCACUAUCUAGUGUUGUUUAGACUACGAUGUCUAAUCUUUACAUACCAGUAGGCUUAUUUAUACAUUUUGAAAGUGAUAAUUCUUUGAAGUGAAGUGUUUAAACUUGUUUUAAUUGUUAAACUAUUAUUCAAAAUGAACUAGUGUCAAUGUUUAUUAAUCACAUAUCACAAUCGUGUAAUAAAGAGGGGAAGGGGUUCUGUCUGUAAAGUGUCUGUAAAGUGUCUGUAACAUGUCUGUGUUUCUGUGUUUUAUUCUCAAAUGAGGGAGCCUGUUCCUCCUGCCUGCCGCUGCAGCUCUGCUCUCUGAGGGAGCCUGUUCCUCCUGUCUGCCGCUGCAGCUCUGCUCUCUGAGGGAGCCUGUUCCUCCUG